GAAAGGUUGUCAAAGGCUGCCCUAUGGUUUCCUUAUUGGACAAGGCGAUUGUGGCUUCGCUGGUCAGACUACACCUUUCCUCUUCCUGAGUUCCUCAUGUUCAUCUCUGUUUCUAUACCUCUCUAUCUUCCUUCUACUGUAAUUUUGGCGUGCGGACUGGUGAUGUCAAUUGAAGGUCGCCCUUGAUCUCCAAUUCCCAAUAUGCACAUAUAACACAUCCACAGCAUUUACUUAGUUGUAAAAUCUCGUCUUGCUUACUGCUUACGGAUGAAGAUGAUUGAAUUUCCAAACAAAAGAAUUUGUUUGAUGCUUUAUUUUUAUAUUGAUCCUUUAUUUUACUCUGUUAUAUGAAUUUGGAGCUUGAGAUUUUUGGGGGUUUAUGUGCUUUCGGAGCGUUAGAACUGGGGUUUCUGGGAGUUGGGUUUCUGUCUGGACGAGUUUUGGUUUCACAGUCUGGAGAGAGCGUGGAAAUAUAAAACGUUUUGAAAGAGAGGCAGCUAGGUUGGAUUUGAAUUGGUUCUGGAAUCCUGGAAGCCGCAUUUUGUUUUCUAGUUGUGGCGAACCACUUAGCCCUCUGCAUCUUCUCGCUUCCUUUCACUUCGCCGGAAAAUGCAGCGAUCUUCACCUUCAUUGGACAAGGUAAGCUCCUCUUCUCUUUGGCUGGGUAAGAUUUUGGAGACUUUAGGGUUUUAAUUUUAUAAAAAUAAGAAGGGGUGUAAUAGUAGUUUUAAGUUGGGUUUAUAUGAACAGGGGCAAUUAGGUA
Macadamia integrifolia is the source of this 763-nucleotide long non-coding RNA. RefSeq lists it as uncharacterized. Lineage: Eukaryota; Viridiplantae; Streptophyta; Magnoliopsida; Proteales; Proteaceae. The transcript has 2 exons. The record is from RefSeq and is a predicted model, not a curated record.